GGUGUCUGAUGGGAGAAUCCUGUGCCCGCAGCCCUGCGCUUCCCCAGGUGAACCGGGCAGGAGCCUGUUGGGAAGGCAGCGACCCACAUCUGUGUGCACCUUUGUGGAUUUCAGGUUCCGGACGCAGGCGACCAAGCCAGAGCCAGCGCUGUCAUACGCAGAGCACCUGCCGAGCCAUGUGACGUGCUGCUCUCUGCCAGCCCUGAUCGCCUUCCUUUCCAGCAGGACUUGCGCUUCACACUGGACCUUGAGGCCCCAUGGAGAUCUGCCAUUUUGGGCAGGUUCUGCUCACAGUGCCAGUAACUUCACCUAGGAGAAGAGCGACAACUUCAAGGCCGCAUGACCCAUCUGAUUGUCAUCACACAGGUCCCCGCAGGAGAAUUUCCAUGGCGUUUCUCACUCUUUGUUUGCAAAGAAUUUCUUUUUUUAUCGUUUUCUUUUUCUUUUUCUAUUUUCUUUUUUCUUUUUUUUUUGAGACAGAGUCUCUCUCUGUUGCCCAGGCUGGAGUGCAGUGGCAUGACCUCGGCUCACUGCAACCUCGGCCUCCUGGGUUCAAGCAAUUCUCCUGCCUCAGCCUCCCGAGUAGCUGGGAUUACGGGCACACACCACAACGCUCAGCUAAUUUUUGUAUUUUUAGAAAAGACAGGGUUUUACCAUGUUGGCCAGGCUGGUCUCGAUCUUCUGAGCUCGUGAUCCACCUGCCUCGGCCUCCAAAGUGCUGGGAUUACAGGCGUGAGCCACCACACCCAGCCUAAGAAUUUCUUAGAAUUAAUAUCUGCACUUGGCCCCACAUCCUCUGAGUGAUAACUUAGAACUGUCACUUUAAUUGUUGAGAGAGGAUAUUCAGAGAAUAGUGGGUGAUUUUACAAGCAAGGAUAUGUUUGGGGAGCAUGUUCCCGGUGCAUUCUCAGGGUCUCGUGCAUUCUUUUAGACAUUGAAGACAUCCUGAUCUCCAGUGGAAGCAGAGCCCCAGUCAUACACUUAUCCACCGGGGACGAGUUCCAAGACCCCCAGGGAAUGCCUGAAAGCUCGGGUAGUGCUUACCUCUAUGGAUGUUGUGCACAAAUUUAUUUUUCCCUCUUUACAACUUCAUAGAUUGAAGGUUCGUUCUUACCAAAGAUCUUAGCAACCUUAGCUUAUCAUUCCUUUUAUUUCCUGAUUAAGUGGAGAACUUUCACCUUUUCACUAAAAAAAAAAAGUGCUUUACGGCUGCCUUUGCCACGUGCACAUGGUCUUUUGGGACCAUCCUUAAGUCAAAUAAGGGUGACCUGGAUGCAAGCACUGUGAUACAGAGAAAGUCCAGCUCACCACCAAGAUGGCUGCUGAGCCGCUGGUGGGCGCGGAGUGUCGUGUCUGCAGCGUGAACAUGCCGGGCAAAGGAAUAAUGCAUGUCAGGGAUAGGGUGGAGAAGGACUGUGCCAGGCUUCAUCACACUACUCAGAAUGGCACACAGUUUAGAACUUAUAAAUGAUUUAUUUCUGGAGUGAUCCACUGCAUAUUUUCAGACGGUGGUUGAUCGUGGGUAACUGAAAGCAAAACCUGACUGAAAGGGGCUGCUGUGUUCAUGUCAGCAACGCUGAUGCCCUCGAGGCCAGAAGAGUAACCACCAAUCUGGUACCUGAGCACCUGGCUGUAAGUCCACCCUCCAUUUCUGGCCAGGGCCGAGGAAUUCUCUCUUUUUCUCUUUAUUUUCCUCUUGAUUUGAGAAGGUCAACUCUGAGCAUGCUCUAAACACAAAUCAGCAUCUCUACACUUCUUCGGCACCAGGUGUUGCUACUGUCUUUCUGAUUAGAAAAAAAGAAAUAUCCAGGAAUUCUGGAAGACAGUGAUUGAUUUGCAGCUAUGCUGCAAUGGAGCUAAGAAUCAUUAGCACAACCCGUGCUGGUGUUCGACAAGAUGCCCAAUCAAUUCAUCCGAUGACAGGUGCGCUGUGUCUGCGAAGCGCGAAGCCACGGAGUGAGGUGCUGACCAGGCUCCACCAGGAGCAAGGAACAAGACUCCCCAGGGGCUCCUGGUCCACAGAAGGCAGGGACGCCCACAAACAUACCAUGAGUAAAUAGUUCCAAUGUGAAGAAGACUGAAAAUGCCACAGAAGUGUGAGCCCACUGUUUUGAAAUUCUUUCUGCUGAAGGGAUUGAGAAGUAAGUGGACUCCUAGAUUUUCUUUGGAAAUGCCACCGAAAGGGAUAAAAGUAGGGGAAACAUUAUUUUAAAUACACUUUUUCUAAGCAUUUUCUCCAUUUCUUUUAAAAGGAACUCUUCCAUAAAGGAGCAUGACCGAGCCAUGAGUUAUAAUAUAUACAUGCAUAUAGAAAGAGGAUGUGAAUACAGUUGCAGAAGGGCGUCAAAGCCAAAAACACACAGGGAAUGACUUGAGGAAGCUGAGGACCAAGAGCAGUGCUAGCCAUGCCAGUGACUGUGGUCGCUGAGAACUGGAUGAUGGAUGUUUGAGUGACCGUCAGGAGGAUCAGCAUGGGACCAGGAGGAUCAGCAUGGGACCAGGAGGAUCAGCAUGGGACCAGGAGGAUCAGCAUGGGACCAGGAAACAGCAGGCGAGUGAAUGUGAACUCCACUCUCAACAGGGAGAUGACGUGGGUCUCGGAAACCUACAGAUCUGAGUGCUUGCUGUCAGGUCAUGGCAGGGCUCUGACUGCACUGUGGAGGGAACAUCUGUGUUUUUGUCCUCCUGGAACCUAGUGCCCCUUUCCUGGAGGCAGCAUCCUAUUUGACCUGUGUGGGUCCAACCCCACCUCUCUCCUGUAGCAGUGGCAUGGGACCCGGGGCUGGGCCAUUCGCAGCAUUGCCACAGGCAGCAAUGGUGAUUGAUCUAGGAGUUGAUCAUUGAUCCUAACUGGGUGCUCAGGCCAAGGGGAUUGAUUCUUGGUAUUUUUUAAUCUCUUUUUUCCACUGGAAUUAUAGCUAAUAUGAUGAAGCCUAGAUAUACUGCGUAUCUGGCUUUUAGACAGGGCAAACCUGCCUAGAAAUGAAAAUGAAGUCACCACCUGUGAAAGCAGAAACAAGAGCUUGAGAGAGACUGAGUCCUGGUGAGAAUUUCUGAACCCCUUGAUCCAGCGAUGCCUGAAGCCAGAACUACUUGUAAACUUUUCAGUCAUGCAAUCCUGUCACUUCUGUUUGUUCUUAAGUGCAUUUUGUAUGGUUUCUGCCGCUGACCACGGAAACGUCCUUCACUAACAGGGAAGCAGAGUUACCCCAUUUGAGAGCCUCAGAAGGAAGAUGGCAUUCAUGCAAAGGAAGCAUGCGUUUGCUCUCACUUCCUGAGAGAAAGCCUGAAAAUGAAGCCAAUCUCAUUUUCUUUCAGAGAUGAGUCUCUUGAUCAGAGAAUGCCUCAGUUCCCUGUAUCUAAAUUUUAGCAAGUGAGAGAAUGCCUCAGUCCCCUGUAUCUGAAUUUUAGCAAGCGAGAGAAUGCAUUUAGGACAAGCAACAGCGAUGGCUCCCGUGUGUUCUUGGCUGCUCUGUUUCUAAAUGAAGAUUCACCUGGAGGCAGCCUUUGCUGCAGGGACACCCAGAUCUCACCUUGUUCUUGUUCUUUUCAAUCAUUUUAGCAAAGGCUCAGCCUACUGAUCCGAUUUAGAGAUGAGCCAUGAAAGCAGAUAUUUAGAUAAUAUUUUCCCAACUGCCUGGAGCAUUAGGUUAGAACUAGUGAGAUAAAAAUAUAAUGAAAAUAAUAGAAAGCUUUGACCCUCAGAUUUAAGAAAAAAAUCAAUGGUGAGGAAGUUCAACAGAGAAUGUGGUUCAGGGCAGAGAGGUUGAUGUCUAAACCCACACCUCUUAGGAGUGUGAUAUGGCUGCAAAGUCCAUCCAAGAGCCCCUUAGACAGCUCCCAGGUCUGCCAGAAAAAAGCAAUUCAUCUUUCCUAUACAGGAGUUUAAGGUCAUUUUGAAGUGGAUGAAUUGGGAAACAUUAUUUUUGUGAAUUGAAUAUAUUGUAGGAAAUCUUGUAUGCUCUAAUCUGCUAGUUAAUAUACUAAUCAAGAAAAGGUAAUAAAACCACAUAGCUAAAAAGAAACAUAUUGAUUUCAGCGACUUCUGCUAAAGCCAGAUUAUGUGAAGAUUAAAUCUAAAAUGUCAGCAAAAUAAUACUGAAUCGAUCUUUCAUCAUCUGUGUGGCCUGUUUUAUUGACUCAUUUCUUUAUUGUUAUUAUACCAAUGAAGCAUGGAAAUGCUGUCAUGGAAAAAUCCAAAUGGCUUAUUGUGUUGCCAAGCAUUUUAUUAGAGU
This 4235-nucleotide long non-coding RNA is filed under the name Homo sapiens (human). RNAcentral's name for it is "long intergenic non-protein coding RNA 2418". The record is from RNAcentral. Lineage: Eukaryota; Metazoa; Chordata; Mammalia; Primates; Hominidae.